This 499-nucleotide ribosomal RNA is filed under the name uncultured bacterium. RNAcentral describes it as "bacterial SSU rRNA". It matches the Rfam family "Bacterial small subunit ribosomal RNA", at positions 29 to 521 of the family's 1533-position model. The record is from RNAcentral.
AUUGAACGCUGGCGGCGUGCCUAACACAUGCAAGUCGAGCGGUAACAGGUGUAGCAAUACAUGCUGACGAGCGGCGGACGGGUGAGUAACGCUUGGGAAUCUGCCUAUUAGUGGGGGACAACCCGGGGAAACUCGGGCUAAUACCGCAUACGCUCUACGGAGGAAAGCCGGGACCGCAAGGCCUGGCGCUAAUAGAUGAGCCCAAGUCGGAUUAGCUAGUUGGUAGGGUAANGGCCUACCAAGGCGACGAUCCGUAACUGGUCUGAGAGGACGACCAGUCACACCGGAACUGAGACACGGUCCGGACUCCUACGGGAGGCAGCAGUGGGGAAUAUUGGACAAUGGGCGAAAGCCUGAUCCAGCGACGCCGCGUGGGUGAAGAAGGCCUGCGGGUUGUAAAGCCCUUUCAGUGGGGAAGAAAAGCCUCGACCUAACACGUCGGGGUCUUGACGUAACCCAUAGAAGAAGCACCGGCUAACUCUGUGCCAGCAGCCGCGGU